UUGCGACCAUAGUUUAACCUCCAACUGUGAAGUUAGCAGCUCAUCUCAGAAUAAACAAACAUGGACAGACUUUUGGUUGCUAGGCAUCCCAGAGCAUGCAGCAUGUUUGUCAGAAACUCGACAAGUUUUCCCAGGAGGUUGCACUCGAGGGGCAAUGGGCACGUGCAGUGUAUUUUGUGGAUGCAAUGGUUUGGUGUGAGGGUUUUCACAUAGUACGUAAAUGCUGUGGUAAAUUAAUCAUCUUGACUGCUGGUUAAUUCUAUACAUAAUAUACCUCUGAGCUCAUUGAGUGGGCAAGGUUGCAGUUAUCUUGACACAUGUGGUCACAAUGAACUUUUGGGAAAAAUAUAACAACAUAUGGACAUCUACAGUAAGUAAUUUGGCAAGUAACACUCUUUUGGCAAUUAACGUGGCAAAGAACAGUUCUAUACACCCUCGAGUUCCUCAGCACAAUAGGAAUGUGGGUUCGUUUCGCAUUUGAGUCCAUAAUGCAUAGAGGAGAUAUCAUACUCCAUGCCGGCGUCAGUGCGACCAGCCUACAUGUGUGAGUCAGCAGGGGCUCUGAGUCAGACACUGCUAACACACUCAUAAUGCAAAGGCUGUUUUAAAGGGUAUCAAGAGCUCACAGCCAACAUUCGUGCACGGGAGAUAAAGAUACAGAGGUGGAGAGAGAGAGAUAGAGAGACCACAAAUCAAUACAAGUCAGUAAUUAUGGUCAGUAAUUAAAUAAGCAAUCUCUGAAUCACUUUGUACAACAUGAUGAAACCAUAAACAUUUCUUAUUUCACAUUUUUAGUCAUAAUACAUCUUUGUACUCUCAUUGUUUCAAUAAAUCAAACACUUGAGAAUGAGAGAAACUUUUAGCUAAAGUUUUUCCAGUCCAACAGUGUUCAAAGGACUAGUUCCUAAUCCCAAAAAAUGAUACGGAUGUUCAUUGUGAAAACCGAUUUAGGGACAGAAAAUGGCCUCUCCGUAACACUGUCAUCUUUGUCUUCAGCAGGAGACUUUUCUUCCUCGGUGCAAAGGCUCAGAAAGGGCUUACUUUGUCCGUCUCAUUUCAGCGUUUCAUCCUCAGGCAUUCGCUACAGGUUUAAGAUCAUCCAACAGUACGGCUAUUUACAAUGCAUAAAGAGCAUUCACGGCAAAAGGAUUAUCUUCGACAACCGUUGAUCCAAGAUGUAUAGUGCUGGCUUUGUUACUACAUAUGAUCUCAGUUCAUAUAAAAAAGUCCGGCUCAUUGAAGUGUGCACAUUUGAGUAAUAUACAGAUGGACAUUGUUAAAAUAGCACAAUUUUUUUUUUUUCAAAACUGAUGGUCCCUCAUGAAUACAAAAGUUAAAAACCCAAGCAUGAAAUAUUUAACCACUGAUGAUGGUGUUACUGUUCAUAUGUUCAACUGGACACACAACAGCAAUAACCCACAACCAUAUGUGCUUCAGACAUAAAAACAACAAGAAUAUACUGUAAGUGAUUCAAAACUUACGAGUAAUUGGGCAUCUGUUUAUAUCAUCUAUUAAAGUGUGCUUUUUCAUAUAAGCAGUGCAAAAAUCAAUUUCCUAAUCACUUUUUGUGUUAUUUCCCAGUAAAAAUCAUUAAAAUCAGAUAAAUUAGCUUGAAUUCAAAUUGUGUAAGAUAAUAAGACCUGUUUUCACAGAA
Long non-coding RNA from Megalobrama amblycephala (Wuchang bream), 1654 nucleotides. RefSeq lists it as uncharacterized. The record is from RefSeq and is a predicted model, not a curated record. The transcript is spliced from 3 exons. Lineage: Eukaryota; Metazoa; Chordata; Actinopteri; Cypriniformes; Xenocyprididae.